Molecule: long non-coding RNA, 6296 nt
Filed under: Sus scrofa (pig)
Lineage: Eukaryota; Metazoa; Chordata; Mammalia; Artiodactyla; Suidae
Description: lncRNA (ENSSSCG00065002365.1)
Source: RNAcentral
UAAUUUUUUUUUUCUUUUUGCUUUUUUAGGGCCGCGCCCACAGCAUGUGGAGGUUCCCAGGCUAGGGGUCAAAUCAGAGCUACAGCUGCCGGCCUACACCACAGUCACAGCCACACCAGAUCCGAGCUGCGUUUGCAACCUACACCACAGUUCACGGCAAUGCCAGAAUCCUUAACCCACUGAGCAAGGCUAGGGAUCAAACUCACAACCUCGUGGUUCCUAGUAGGAUUUGUUUCUGCUGCGCCACAACGGGAACUCCUGGAAUCCAAGAUUCUGAUUUCAAUAAAGGGGUUGCUCCCUCUACACUUCAUCAGAAAGCUUCUUGUGGUAACUAAUUAGAGGCAUUGUGCCCAGCGCUAGGAGGUACCAUGAUCUUCAAGACUCCCGUGGACUUUGUGGCAUCGUGGUAGCCAGUGGUCUUGGGUGGUCUGGGUCCCCAGGGGACGAAGAGGCCAGUGAUGUACAGAGAUGGCUCUUGUUCCCAGGCUGGCUUUAUAUGUGGUCUGAAUGGCAGGACAGAGUCCUAGGUUCAACACCGCUAUAUCAUGAGGCCAACCUGGAGCCUUAUGUGCAUGGGCCAGCUCUCAGCUCUAAGCCCAUUUUCCGGAAGCUUCUGCCCUUGAAUAACUUGUGGUUUACUGGGGUAGGCAGGGUACCACCAGCACUCUAGUUACAGAUAUAAUAUAAAUAUCUGAGUACAUGGUUGUACAGAAAGACACAGAGGAGUGUGGGAGCAAAUACAGUGUGUGAACCAGCGGGUGGGGGUGGCGGGCUGGCGUGGGAAGACCCCCAGGAGGAGGCAAACUUGAAAUGAAAUUUUGAAAGAAUAGAGAAGUAGUUGAAUUACCGGGGAGGGGACAGGGUAUUAUAACUGGGGACUUGGUGUGUGUGGAGGCUUUGAGGUGGCCUUGGAGCGCCCCUAAUAAGUACCAGGCUCAGAAAGCUUAACCACGCAGGCCCACGCCCAUCCGUGAAAUCAACUGUACACAGAAUAUGAAACAACUGAUUAUGCAAAGCAACGUCAGUCCAAACACCUUGUUUAACUACAUAUUUCCUCUCCAAGUGACACUUUCUCCUGUUAUUUCAUUUAGUCAUGCAUUCAUUUAUUCGACAAGUAAAAAAUUAUGCCCCUACUGGGUACCCAGGACCUCAUUCAGAACUCCCUCUGUGUCUCCCCGUCCAUUAAAGGCAGGUGCAACCUGCCUACCUCAGAGGACGAUCACGUGGAAGUAAGUUCUAGCAAGGUCCCUGGGUGAGUUAUUUUAAUUAAAGCCCCAGGAACCAAGGAGAAAAUUAGCACAGUGGGAUCAAAUUCAAGCACCACUCAAUACUUGAGGGUAUUUAUAGAAAAGCAAACACAAAAACAAGAAAAAAAUCCAAUAUCCUGACUGGUUGCCUUUUGUUUUCUCGGUAUAAAUUGGUGCCUGUUCUCCUAGCUGAAGAGCACCAAAGCUGUCCGUUUUGACCUUCUGUGGAUGAUGAAAGCCAAGACUGGACCACAUGGGCAGAGGCACUGCUACCUCGCUUAGUGCCUGAGAAUAUGCCACGUGCCUUCCUGGGACCUGCCCAGAAGAAGGGAGAGUCAGGAGGAGGGCGAGAAAGAUACUACCCAGAAAAGGAGUCAAAGGUCUUGACUUUGAGAACUAGACAGAAGUUGGGGAGGAGAGAAAGCAGGUUUCCCUCUGAAUUGUCAAUCCAUAGAAGCUGGUUCAAAGGGGAAGUCACAGCUCUUAGAGGCUCUCGCUACUCAAAGCGCUGUCUGGAGACCAAGGCAGGGGCAUCUUCUGGGACCUGGUGAGACAUGUAGCAUAUGUGGCAUCUUGGUCCCACCCUGAGCCCACUAAGGCAGAAUCUACAUUUUCACAGGAUCUGGGUGAUUCACAGUCUUAGAACUCUUACAGCCUCAGUUUUGCCAUCUAUAAAAUAGGGAUGAUAAUAUGGCCGAUCAAUUGAGGCUUAAAUAAAAUACUUUCCAUACAGAGAUUUGGCUUAAAAUUUGGGUGCUCUCUCCUUCCUCUUUGCAGGUGCCUGGCUCUGUGCAAACUUCUCUUGGUUUUCACUCCGGACACCAAAGGAACAAGUGGUCAUUAGUCCCACCCCAUCUCCAUCUACCAAGGAGGCCACAGAGGUCCAAGUGGAACAGAUGACUUGUUGUAGAUAUGCCCUAGCUUAGGAGCUUCUCAAGAGUAAGGCCUGUAUCUUAUUCAUCGCUGUUUCUCCGGCUCUUGGCAUGGUGUCUGCAAAAUCCCAGUUUCAAUAACACAUAGAUAUACCUGCAAGUGAACUUGACUUCCCGAGUUCACUCUUUCUGACACUUUCCAAAGAACUGACACCCGGCUGAUAGUCAAGGCCACGGGUUCCCACUGCACAGGACAGCUCUCUGAAUUAAACAUCACUGCUAUUCUCAGUGUCAGGAAACAGGCAAACUUGAGUGCCUGGAGAGAAGGAAUAACCCCCCAGCAGCCAGUGUGCCUGACUUAGCUGGGCAGAAGGGACCCCACCUAGUGAAGCUUCUAAGUCUGCAGAGAUGGUCAAGCUUGGGACAAGGAGCAGCUGAGCCAAAAUGCUAGUGGGUGCUACCCGGUGCUAGUAAAAAUGUCCACAUGGGAUCAACCAUCCAGAGGGGUGUGAGCCUCUUGGCAGCAGGGCUGGGCACGCAGAGGCCAGUGGUUCCCAGGAAUGAAUGCUCUAUGUGAAUCAUUUAUCCAUCAUUCUCUCCAUGGGGGUCUAGCUUCCUGGCCCACCUGCCUAUCCAUGUUGGGAGCACUCAGUCCUUGGUGACAGGUACAGUUGGAGGGAAUUCUUAAUUUUGGCAUAUCCCACACUCCAAACACGGGUGUCUGUUGAGCGCUAAAGAACACGCAGUAGACAUUGUGCAUUAUUUCCAAGUUCCCUGCCCUUAGACUGUGGAUUCAUCAGGUCAUUCCUCUCUGCCUGGGUCUUCUGGAACCCUUCAUAGCCUCCUGACAUGGGCAAGUCACCGUCUCCAUGUAUAUGAGAAUGGUGACAUUUCUACCUAAUUGAAUUUUUUUUUCCAAAUUUUCUAAGUAAUUGUUUUAAGAGCUCAUACAUAUACAUGGGAAAGAAAAUGAAGAUUACAGGCAUGGACAAGAAAGGUUCCUUCCUUUCUAAACUUACCCUUUUCCUUCUCCAGAGACAACUGCUGUUCCCAGCAUGAGAUGUACCUUGCAGAGACAGCCAAUACAUAUACACAUCUGCUAGAAAUGGAUGACACCCAAGGGCAAGGAUUUCUGUUUUCACUGUUCACUUUUUCGUCCCCAGCACUGAAAAGAACAACUGGCAUAGCUGCCCAAUAGUUGAGUGAAUGAAUGAAUGAAUGUAUAAAUCAGAUGUAUUCCUAAAAAAAAAAAAAAUCACAUUUUGGUAAAUCAAGUCCUGAUCUUCCUUUAUCUUCUGAUGGAUGCACCUUCAGUGGGCAGCGGCUCUGUCCUCAACCAAGAAAAGAGGAUAACUGUUGUUACAUGCCUUUCAGGGUUGCCAUGGAGCCAAUGGGAGCAUGUGGAAGGAUUGGUCCAUGGUGGUCCCAUGGCUCCCUGUUCUCCCAACCCUCUCCAACUGAUACAACACACCACUAUGCUUACUGGUCUAUGCCUUGCCUCCUUCUGCACAGAUACCCUACAGCAGGGACCGUCUUCAUUAAUUCUAUACUCCCAGGGCUUAGCAUCACUUAGAUGAGUAAAUAAAUGAUGCUUCCAAGGAGGGAAACUGAGGACAAAGGGGAGAUAGGAGAGUCAGAGACAAACACGCACACCUUCACAGGCCCCCACAAGGUCACACUGAAGGUUUCUAAUAAAGGAGGAAGAUGAAAGCCCCUGUGUUAGCAGCUUGAAUAAGACAGCGAAUGCUCUUGAUUGUGAAAAUGUGAAGGUUUCAAUGAAGCUAGGUAAUAUGGAAAAUCAAUAAAACUGUCAGCACUGGCCAAUUUCAACUAGAUAAAAGAAUAAAGUAAUUGGCCCUGAAAGACAACUCUCUAAAUUAGGUUAAAUAAAUGGAAAUACCCUUUUGUUUUAAGCCAAAUCGCAAGGACAUCAACAACAGUAAAUGAUCAAAUUAUGAGCCACUUUGACCCAGUAUGACCUGAGCUGCAAGCAUGAAUUUCCCAAAACAAUAUUCUUUACAAGACACAGAAAUGAUGUAUUUGCAAGACAACAGAGACAGAAUUGGAGGCCACGCCAGGAAUCACAGAGCUCACUUCCUAACUAAGGAUCUCUUAGAAACCCACCCUGACUAUAUGCGUGUUUCUUCAACAUGAUGAUUCCUCCUUCAAUCACUUCAUUAGGAAAUCGGCUCACAAACCAAUAGAAAAUGCGCAUCUAUGCUCCCACGAUGGCAGAGGGGAAGGAGGCUUCGGUAGUGAUCCUAAAGGGCACUGCUCUCCAAACACUUAGGAUUCAAUUCUGUUUUUCAUCUGCUAAUGGUUGGCAUUUGGUGUUGUUAACUGUGGAUGAUUCAUUUCAGAGGAACUGCUGUGCUUCUAGAGCCUGUUUGGAAGGAAAUGAGGGUUUCUUGGCUUAUUUCUCAUCAAGCAUUUUAGCCAUAUCUCUUUGUGACAUUAAAAAGCCCUUGAUGGGGAGGGGGUGGUGCUCACUGCUUUUCAAACUGACUCCCCCUGUCUCAUCUGGUGCAUAUGGCCACUUCUAGGAACAAGCACUGAUUCCAGCACGACAAAGGAUAGAGCUCCAAAUCUGGAAAAUAAGGGGCCCCUCCCUGAGCCUGUGUAUCAGUGUCACGUAGUUAUGCUGGGCAGGGGGAAUGCUAAGCUGGUUAUAUGUUGCAAGAUCAACGUUUUUGAACAUCUGGCUUUUGUUAUUUUUACUCUUAUCAGAUGCUUAGACUAUUUCUGUUCUCCACAUGCUACUGGAGAAUCCGGCUUGUCCAUGAAUGUCUGGGGACCUUGUGGGGUGAGCAGGACCAUGAUCUUAUGGCCUUGAGGUGCCUCACAGCUGAUGGAGGGAGUCCCUUCAGCUCCUUGGAGCAGGUGCCUGACUUUGAAGUCACCUAUUUGGGAGGGUAAGCACUUCCCUUACCAUCUCAAGCAAUGUUUCCCAUUAGAGACAGAAUAGAAGUUGCAAAGGGUAGGAGUGUCAGGGCUUGCUGCAGGGCCACCAGCUAGACAGGCUGGGGAGGCGGAGAAUGCCGAGGGUGGUACAAUGCUUCCCAAGGGGUUCCAUGAGACUGCCAAGGGAGCGACGAGAAAAUGUGCCCAAAAGGCUCUAAUGGGAUGCCUGUACCCAGGCUUGACUUUCUCAUAACCUAAGCCCCAUGCUUAUAAAAUGUGCUCUACUUAAUGUCCCAGCCUAGACCAGACUUGGCCUAGAACAUCCCUCCUCCUUGGGGGCCAAGGUGCAUGAGAGGCCUUGACCAUGAAGACACAUCCAAAAAGAACUUCAAACACGGCUUAAUCAUUUCAGUGUUUCAUUGUUGUGUUUGAAAAUUUCUGUUUGCGACACUGAUGACUGUCUUGGUUUGGAAGUUCCCUGAGCACACACAUUGCAUCUGUUUAAUUUAUCAUGUCUAUCCAACCUUACCUAAAAAUAAGAGCUUCAAAGCUGGUCUUUGAUAAUGAUGACAUAAUCCCCCUUACUAAGAAUGGUGUCUCCACUUCUUCCCUAUUAAUCUAGUCUAUCUAAAUGUUUCCUUUUCAGCCCACGCCCUGCCUCUUUCUUGAUUUCCCUGGGUUAUUCUAGCUUCAACUUAUUUCCAUUUGGAGAACUCUUGGCAACACCCAAUUAGGCACUCGAUGUGAUGUUACUUUGCAUUGGUCGCUAACGCUUCUGAACUGUAGGUAAGUCUUGGAUUCCUAAUUGAAUCGCGAGCUCCUUGAAUUCAAGGGCCAUGUGUUCUUGAAAAUGCCAUCUCUCAUGUUCUGCUUCCCAUGCCCCAAAUUCAGCAUGAGCACCAAAAAUGGACACAUUUGUUCAAGUGCAUUGGUAACUACUAUUCAUUUGAAUGAAUGAUUCUUCGUAAUCACCUGAUCAUCAGAAGGUGUCGGGUUAAAUAAUGGCAAAAUUUCUAGGGAGUUCCCGUUGCGACACAGCAGAAACGAAUCCAGCUAGGAACCAUGAGGUUGCAGGUUUGAUCCCUGGCCUCGCUCAGUGGGUUAAGGAUCUGGUGUUGCCGUGAGCUGUGGUGUAGGUCGCAGACUUGGUUUGGAUCCCACAUUGCUGUGGCUGUGGCGUAGGCUGGCUGAUUAGACCUCUAGACUGGGAACCUCCAUAUGCUGCAGGUGUGGCCCUAGAAAAGAUAAUAGUAAUAAUAAUAAUAAUAAUAAUUGC